GAAAUGCGAUAAGUAAUGUGAAUUGCAGAAUUCCGUGAAUCAUCGAAUCUUUGAACGCACAUUGCGCCCCCUGGCAUUCCGGGGGGCAUGCCUGUCCGAGCGUCAUUGCUGCCCUUCAAGCCCGGCUUGUGUGUUGGGUCGUCGUCCCCUCCGGGGGACGGGCCCGAAAGGCAGCGGCGGCACCGCGUCCGGUCCUCGAGCGUAUGGGGCUUUGUCACCCGCUCGAUAAGGACCGGCCGGGCGCCAGCCGGCGUCUCCAACCUUUUUUUCUCAGGUUGACCUCGGAUCAGGUAGGGAUACCCGCUGAACUUAAGC
This 315-nucleotide unclassified non-coding RNA is filed under the name plant metagenome. RNAcentral describes it as "partial contains 5.8S ribosomal RNA, internal transcribed spacer 2, and large subunit ribosomal RNA". The stretch from base 1 to 105 matches the Rfam family "5.8S ribosomal RNA", at positions 50 to 154 of the family's 154-position model. The record is from RNAcentral.